UGAGGAAUUUUCCGCAAUGGGCGAAAGCCUGACGGAGCAAUGCCGCGUGAAGGAUGAAGGCCUGUGGGUUGUAAACUUCUUUUCUCAGAGAAGAAAUUUUGACGGUAUCUGAGGAAUAAGCAUCGGCUAACUCUGUGCCAGCAGCCGCGGUAAGACAGAGGAUGCAAGCGUUAUCCGGAAUGAUUGGGCGUAAAGCGUCUGUAGGUGGUUUGACAAGUUUCCUGUCAAAGAUCAGGGCUUAACCCUGGGCCGGCAGGAAAAACUAUCAGGCUAGAGUACGGUAGGGGCAGAGGGAAUUCCCGGUGGAGCGGUGAAAUGCGUAGAUAUCGGGAGGAACACCAAAGGCGAAAGCACUCUGCUGGGCCGUUUUUUUUCGAUUCGUCGAAAGAACCACUGACAC
RNAcentral lists this ribosomal RNA (400 nucleotides) under uncultured bacterium. RNAcentral's name for it is "bacterial SSU rRNA". It matches the Rfam family "Bacterial small subunit ribosomal RNA", at positions 355 to 771 of the family's 1533-position model. The record is from RNAcentral.